This 109-nucleotide ribosomal RNA is filed under the name Propithecus coquereli (Coquerel's sifaka). Lineage: Eukaryota; Metazoa; Chordata; Mammalia; Primates; Indriidae. The record is from RNAcentral.
GUCUAUGGUCAUACCACCCAGAAUGCACCUGAUCUCAUCUCAUCUUGGAAGCUAAGCAGGGCUGGACCUUGGAUGGGAGACCACCUGGGAAUAUCAGGUGUUGUAGGCU